Molecule: long non-coding RNA, 1557 nt
Filed under: Capsicum annuum
Lineage: Eukaryota; Viridiplantae; Streptophyta; Magnoliopsida; Solanales; Solanaceae
Description: long non-coding RNA (CANN_LNC019424)
Source: RNAcentral
UAGAAAUAGAUAUUAUAUAUUACAAAGAAUAGAGAUUAGCAAGGUUUACAUUGCAUAGCAGCUGAAGCACUGCUAUGUCCAUGCCUUAACAAAACAGAGCUAUUAGUAGAAUUGGGGCUCAUAAAAGAGUCUGACAACAUAAGAAUAUUACUACUAGAAUUACACAUAACAGACUAAUUCCCUAGGCAAAUUAGCUUAUUACAAGUAUACCACGAUACUAUUGUACUACAUAAGACUCCAUUCCGAUCCUUCUUGAGCUGGGCUUCAACAAUAUCUGGUGGAGUUAACAAAAAGUUGUUUGCACUAGUUCUUGACAGGUGAGAGCUUAAUCUGUAAAGACUAUAUGCUACUCCAUUUGCUUGGCUGAAGCUAUGUUGUACACAAGCUCUUCAACAUUUACCUACAAGAAUUGACGAUGUUAUCAACCUUUUUAUCACUAGCCUUUACCUUUGUUGACAUAGCUUCCGGGGGUGGUUGGUUAUGUCGUGUUGGUUGCUCAGUAGAGUUUGUUGCGGCUGUUGAUCUCCUUGUCAGAGUAGGCUUUCAUUUUGGGGGAAAUUUAACUGUUUGCCAUUCACUAGGAGGGAUCUGAGUACCUUCGAAAGGAAUAGAGUUGUCUAAUUUCGAGGGUUCUGAACUGGCGUCGGUCAAUUGAUGUUGACACUUUUCUUUAACAUGACCAAAUCUGCCACAUUUGAUACAAAGAAAUCCCUCUCCUUCAUAUAAAAUAGUCUAUUGAUUAUUACCUAUUUGGAUUUAGUUUCAGACUGGUUCCUCCAUAGCAAUUUGAACGAAAAGUUGAGUGUAUCUACCUCGAAGAGUUAAGCUGUUACAUGCAUCAAUCUUUAACAAUUUCCCUAUGGAAUUGCCAAUUUUUGUAAGUAAAAGUCCGCCAUAAAACUCAAUAGGAAAUUGGGGAAGACGAACCCAGACCACAGAGUAGGUAAUUUUCCCUUUUCAGGGACAAAGUUUGGUUCCCACCUUUUUAUUGAGAGUUAUUGGUCAUUAAUGAAUUAGGGGCCAUUUUGGAGAACAUGGGAAAUGCUCUCUGCUUUUUUAACUUUACAAUGUAAAAGUAGCAUCCCAAGUCAAUGAGUGGGAAAGUUUCAGCAGUUUUCCAUAAAGUGACAAGUUAGUCUUUGAAGUAUUAGUGUGCUAUUUUCUUUCCAAUAACUUGAUGAUAAGUGAAUGUUUCCAAGGAGAGCAAAGUUGCUCAUUUUCUUCUUGGAUAGAACGAUGGUCUUUAUUCCAUUGGUUAACACCCCUAUGUCAUCACCAGCUUUCUCUGAAAAAGUGUCAUUUUGGGAUUCCGUACAACCUUCCAUUAGAAGGUUAGUAACUUGUUUAGUAGCCAGCAAUUUUGAUUUAAAGGAGUCAGGAUUUCUUGUGGAAUCAGUUAAAUCAAGGGGAUUGGGGGUAUAAGAUUUGGAUUUUGAUGAGAAGAGGUUGGGUUAUUAGAAAUUGUUUCUCACACUAUGAAAAGUUAAUUGUUCAUCAUCAUAAAAGAUGGCUCAAUCUUUGAGAUAAUUAGCAGAGUUUAUCUGCUCUUAGUUUGAG